GCUAGCGUAGCUCAGUUGGCAGAGCAGUUGAUUUUCAAUCAACAGGUCGCAGGUUCGACUCCUGUCGCUAGCU
Molecule: transfer RNA, 73 nt
Filed under: Thermoproteota archaeon
Lineage: Archaea; Thermoproteati; Thermoproteota
Description: Crenarchaeota archaeon tRNA-Glu
Rfam family: tRNA
About the family: Transfer RNA (tRNA) molecules are approximately 80 nucleotides in length. Their secondary structure includes four short double-helical elements and three loops (D, anti-codon, and T loops).
Source: RNAcentral